RNAcentral lists this ribosomal RNA (253 nucleotides) under uncultured bacterium. RNAcentral's name for it is "partial 16S ribosomal RNA". It matches the Rfam family "Bacterial small subunit ribosomal RNA", at positions 524 to 776 of the family's 1533-position model. The record is from RNAcentral.
UACGUAGGGUGCAAGCGUUGUCCGGAAUUAUUGGGCGUAAAGAGCUCGUAGGCGGUUUGUCGCGUCUGCUGUGAAAACUCGAGGCUUAACCUCGAGCUGUCGGCGGAAACCAUCUGGCUAGAGUCCGGAAGAGGAGAAUGGAAUUCCCGGUGUAGCGGUGAAAUGCGCAGAUAUCGGGAAGAACACCCGUGGCGAAGGCGGUUCUCUGGGCCUGCACUGACGCUCAUGCACGAAAGCGUGGGGAGCAAACAGG